GAUCCGCUGCCCGGAGUGCAAUGCCGGCAAUGUGCUCUGGUUCGUCUCUGGAAUGGUAGAGAACCCAGGGAGGCAUUUCUACAAGUGCGAACGCCAUGGAUUUGGUGGAUGCUGUUUCUGGAAGUGGGAGAACAAGUAUGUACAGUACUUCAGUACUCACUGGGAGCAUCUACUCUCGCACAUGCAUCUGUGUGUCGGCAUGUAACUCUGCUUGAGCAGAACCAAGCAUGGUUGAGGAACAUUUUCAUCUUGGGCGUGCUGAACAUGGUGCUAAUGGCCAUAUGCUGUAUGCACAAGUUCUGAAGCAACGAGAUCCCAUGCAACGAUGGAAUUGGUGCACCAGAUGCACCAGCGAGUUAUGGGCCAUUUGAUUGAGAAUGAGCGGACAAAAUCUAGGUACAAUCUGGGCUGCUGGUGCACUUGUAAACUGAACCUUGUG
Molecule: long non-coding RNA, 439 nt
Organism: Triticum dicoccoides
Lineage: Eukaryota; Viridiplantae; Streptophyta; Magnoliopsida; Poales; Poaceae
Exons: 3
Source: RefSeq, a predicted model, not a curated record